This is a non-coding RNA of Ciona intestinalis (vase tunicate), 114 nucleotides long. NCBI's taxonomy places the organism in Eukaryota, Metazoa, Chordata, Ascidiacea, Phlebobranchia, Cionidae. The record is from RefSeq and is a predicted model, not a curated record.
CUGAAGUAUCACCUCCAUCGCCAUUAUUAAACAAUAUUUGAGUAACCAGCAAUCUAUUCAAUUCCUAAGUUUUAUACUUAAAUAAAAAGAAUCUCAUGUACUCUGCGUCGAUGC